This 224-nucleotide unclassified non-coding RNA is filed under the name uncultured fungus. RNAcentral describes it as "sequence contains ITS1, 5.8S rRNA gene". The stretch from base 176 to 224 matches the Rfam family "5.8S ribosomal RNA", at positions 1 to 49 of the family's 154-position model. The record is from RNAcentral. Lineage: Eukaryota; Fungi.
UCUCCGUAGGUGAACCUGCGGAGGGAUCAUUACUGAGUGAGGGCUCCGGCCCGACCUCCAACCCUAUGUGAACCGAAACCUGUUGCUUCGGGGGCGACCCUGCCGUUCGGCGCGGCGCCCCCGAAGGUCUCCAAACACUGCAUCUUUGCGUCGGAGUUUAACACAAAUGAAACAAAACUUUCAACAACGGAUCUCUUGGUUCUGGCAUCGAUGAAGAACGCAGC